RNAcentral lists this unclassified non-coding RNA (384 nucleotides) under Hevea brasiliensis (rubber tree). Lineage: Eukaryota; Viridiplantae; Streptophyta; Magnoliopsida; Malpighiales; Euphorbiaceae. The record is from RNAcentral.
UUUUUUUUUUCUUUUUCAUUUGCACAGCUGACAGUGAGAGGGAGGAAGAAAAACCUCAUCUCUUUUGUGUUCUCUUGUUUAGAGUUUGACUUGGAGGGGGUAAGAGCAUACAAGAUUGGGUAAAAUUAAGGAGGACCGGAAUAUAAUUGAGGUGUGCAUUUGGUAGCAUUGCAACUGGUACAAGGCUCGCACAUUAGGCAAUCAGGUGCGUGCCUAAGUGAUGUUGCCUACCUUAUGCUAUUAGCGGGGCUGAGCAUCGUGCUUGGUGCAGCUUUAACAACAUUGGAGUCAAGGGCGGCAAUAAGUACCAACUAGGGAAAGUAAAAUUCAUGAAUGAGCUAAAGAGGACAAACUAGGAAACCAUGGGAACUAUAAAAGAUAAAA